AAGUCGUAACAAGGUUUCCGUAGGUGAACCUGCGGAAGGAUCAUUAGUGAAAUGUGGUGUCUUGGGACCCAUUUAUCUACCAUCUAUCCUGUGGACUGAAGAGUGUGUAUGCAUUCGAAGAUCAUUAAACAACGUCGUUGAAUGUGAGCUCUGCAAUGCAGAUUAAAACAAAUACAACUUUUAGCAACGGAUCUCUUGGCUCUCGCAUCGAUGAAGAACGCAGCGAAAUGCGAUAAGUAGUGUGAAUUGCAGAAUUCAGUGAAUCAUCGAAUCUUUGAACGCACCUUGCACCCUUUGGCAUUCCGAAGGGUAUGCCUGUUUGAGUGUCUUGAAGUACUCAAGGCCGCCCCCAGUGUUCAACGCUGGUGNUGGCGUCUUGGUCCUGAGCACUGCCAGUUUAAAUGCCACUGGCUUGCUUCAAAUGGAUUAGCGGGGCCGUUACAGUCUCACAAGCGUAGUAAUUAUCGCCUGGGCAGUAAUGCGCUCGCUUAAAACACCCCCCCAUUUUCAUCAGACCUCAAAUCAGGUAGGACUACCCGCUGAACUUAAGCAUAUCAAUAAGCGGAGGAAAAGAAACUAACAAGGAUUCCCCUAGUAACGGCGAGUGAAGCGGGACGAGCUCAAAUUUUAAAUCUCGCAGUCUCAGACUGUGCGAGUUGUAAACUAGAGAAGUGUUUUCCGUGCUGGCCUGCGUACAAGUCCCUUGGAAUAGGGCGUCAUAGAGGGUGAGAAUCCCGUACUUGACGCAGACAACCAGUGCAUUGCGAUGCACUUUCAAAGAGUCGAGUUGUUUGGGAAUGCAGCUCAAAACGGGUGGUAAAUUCCAUCUAAAGCUAAAUAUUGGCGAGAGACCGAUAGCGAACAAGUACCGUGAGGGAAAGAUGAAAAGCACUUUGAAAAGAGAGUGAAACAGUACGUGAAAUUGCUAAAAGGGAAACGCUUGAAGUCAGUCGCGNCCGCGCGCCGGGGCAACUCGGUGCCGGGCGGGUCAGCAUCAGUUUUGAUUUUCCGUUGUAUAAAGGCAGGUGGAAUGUAGCUUUUCCAAGUGUUAUAGCCAUCUGUUGCAUGCAACGGUCAGGACUGAGGAACGCAGCACGGUGUUUAACACCCCCGGUCUUCGGACACGUACACGUGCUUAGGAUGCUGGCAAAAUGGCUUUAAACGACC
Molecule: ribosomal RNA, 1167 nt
Filed under: uncultured fungus
Lineage: Eukaryota; Fungi
Description: eukaryotic LSU rRNA
Rfam family: Eukaryotic large subunit ribosomal RNA (bases 513-1167)
Source: RNAcentral